GGGUGUCAUUGUCAAUUCAAAUUUAAGAAUAAAAAUGCUUGAACGAAACAUAUUUAUAUAAAGAAUAAUGAGUAAAAUUACCUCUUCUAGACAAUAAUAUGUAACAAUGCAGAGUUGAACUUGAGUCUAAGAGGCAUACACUUAGUGUGUUCAUAUUCAGAAUGCUCCUUGCUUUUAAAACAGAGUAACAACUAUGCCUGUAAUUUAUCAGCCUGCAAAAACACUUUAUUUAUUAAUUUUAUAUAACUAAAAUAUCAACUUAUCAACAAUUAUCAACAAUAGAUAAAUGUUCUAAGUUUUUACAUGUGUUCUUUUUUCCAUCCUUCUUUUGUGAUUGGUCUAUGUCUCUCUAUCUUCUCUCGUUUAUUACACUACAUUCAAUUAGCUUCCACAGACGAACAUUCCAUGAUAUAAACACCAAGAUACAAAUGAUAAUAACGAAUUCAGUAUCAAAAUGAGAUUAUGCCUUGAUUUCAAUAACAAAACUUUAAGUUAUAUGUGACGAAUGUACCUUCUUAUUGUGUAAUUAUUCACCUGGUACAUGACUUUCCAUGUGCCUUGUACAUGCAAAUCAUUUAUCAUGGUUCAUGUGCUUGCUCCUACAAUGGCAAGCAAAACAAUAAACCUUACUAUCUAACUCGAACUCUAUAAUUUCCCUAAUGCAAAGUACACUCCAAUUAAUGAUCAGUAUUAAUGAUGUUAUACUCGUAAUCAUAAAAAUGUUAAAUAUCAGAUGUUUAAACUAUUGCUAAAGAUCUUUAAAGACUUACUUCAUCAGUACCCUCCUUAUCAUCAUCAUCAUUGACUUCAGACGUAUAUUUGUCACAGUCAUUGUCUUCCCCACCAGCAUCCUAGAUUUAUUACAAAUUGCAGAAUAUUAAAAUCAUGUAAUUUUAAUACAACAUAUGAAAGAAUAAACAGCAAUCACCUUCUUUUUGUAGUAUGCAUCAAGAGUUUUUUUUUCAUAUUCUUUCUUUUAUCAGCUUUAGCAACGUAUGCUUCCUUUUCCAGUACUUUUUACACAAAUUGUAAUCAAAAUUUACAUGAUUUAGAAACUUAUUUCUCGAAUUAAAUCUAAAGAUGUGUGACUUGCAGAAUCAGGUCUUUCUAUCCGUUUUGCUCCACCAGCUUUCCCAACCUGUUAAUAGUAUUUGACAGUCAGAUCAAUAUCAGUAAAUCGGAUAUUAUUUCUAUUAUUUCUAUUUUCCCCAUAUGUUAUGCCAUAAACAACAUAGAAUAAAUUUUUAUACACUUUAGUUGCAACAAAACCAUAUAAUAUAAAUCCAAAAACACCAUCAUGGCAAAACAUAAACAAUUGUCUGUAAACAUCUGGAAUAUGCAACAAAACCAUAUAACAUAAAUACAAAACACUAUCAUGGAAAAAC
This 1385-nucleotide long non-coding RNA is filed under the name Helianthus annuus (common sunflower). RNAcentral's name for it is "hypothetical non coding rna". The record is from RNAcentral. Lineage: Eukaryota; Viridiplantae; Streptophyta; Magnoliopsida; Asterales; Asteraceae.